This 252-nucleotide ribosomal RNA is filed under the name uncultured bacterium. RNAcentral's name for it is "partial 16S ribosomal RNA". It matches the Rfam family "Bacterial small subunit ribosomal RNA", at positions 525 to 775 of the family's 1533-position model. The record is from RNAcentral.
ACGUAGGGGGCAAGCGUUAUCCGGAAUUACUGGGUGUAAAGGGAGCGUAGGCGGCAUGGUAAGCCAGAUGUGAAAGCCCGGAGCUUAACUCCGAGGAUUGCAUUUGGAACUAUCAAGCUAGAGUACAGGAGAGGAAAGCGGAAUUCCUAGUGUAGCGGUGAAAUGCGUAGAUAUUAGGAAGAACACCGGUGGCGAAGGCGGCUUUCUGGACUGAAACUGACGCUGAGGCUCGAAAGCGUGGGGAGCAAACAG